UCAUGUGGUGGUGGUGGUUGCAGCCGAUUGGUGGUGGUGGUCAGAUCUCGCAGCUCUUUUGUUUCCUUGUUCCAGAUCUGUUCAGAUCUCCUCUCCCUUGCCUCUUGUUCCAGAUCCAGAUCUAGGCUAAGGUGGAGUGUUUCAAACCCAACCUUCUUUCAUGGUCCUGUAUACUCCUAUAUGUUGGGGUUAGGUUUGAUUAGACCCUGUUUGGGAGUUAGGUUGAUAGUACAUGGUAUUGCUAGGAUGAUAGAUGAAUGGAUCAUGAUGCAUAAGAACCCUCAUAUUGAUAAAUGGGACUUGAUGAACUGAAUUGAAUUGUUGUGGUAAUGGCUGAUUGGUAGUUGAUUCUUGUAUGUUUGGUUGUGUUGUCCCAUGUGUGGUUGUGAUUGAAGUUAGGAUGCUAGAGAGAAAUAAAUGCUAGGAUGAUAGAUGAGCAAUGAUUAUAAAAGUUAUUGAAGUAGAACUUGAAUGCAAUGUGUAUUGUGUGACACCGAUAACGGGUGGCGUCUAGUGAUUGAGUCCAAGUACAAGUAGGAAUGAAAAGGGAAGUAAUUGGGAAUGGGAAGGGUUAGGUGAAAACGAUAAGGAAGUGAAAGGAUAAGUAAAAGUAUGAAAGAAUGUUGUUAAGGUUAAGCAUGGGUGGGAAAGCAUAUAGAGAGUCUAAGGAAAGUAGGUGGGGUAAGUAGUCCACGCUAGGUAUCCAUAGGAGAUGUGGCGAAUCCACAUGAAUAUGGAAGCACCCAUAGGAGAUGUGGCCAAUCCACAUGAAUAUGGGGUAGAAGCCUAGUGGGGGGCUACCCACUGAGGAAAAGAGGAAAAGAUGAAAAGAUGAAAAGAUGAAAAGGAUAUGCAUUGUAGGGUUCUAGCUCAUGGUCGGGUACAGGAAGUUAAAGAAGUCAUAGGAUCGAGUCGGACUGGUAAGAUGAGUCGGUUAAGUCUAGGGAUGGCGUGUGUGGCAAUGAGUGAGAUCAUUGUAUUGAUUGAUUACUAGGUUGUUAGAAAUGAAUGGAAGUGUGUGUAGAAAUUACAGAUGGUGAUAGGAAAUGAUAAAAUGCAUUAACGGAUUGUAGUGGCUAGUCAGUCCUAGUUCCCGCAUAGAGUAGUAUAGAGUGUCGUGCGGGCAGGCUGGUCUAGAGCCACUUCACUGAGUAACUUGUUGCUCACCCCCUCCAUUUCCAUUUUUUCCCUGUGCGCAGGACUGUAAGUAGAAGUAUAUGGAUGUGGGUGUGACGGUAUUUCAAAGAAGGUUAUGCGCUCGUCUCUCGGGACCAGUAACGGGACACGUAGGGUUGUCUAAAUGAGUAGACACGUGUCCAUAACGCCCCUUCGAUAACCCCGGUCGGACGCCGGGGGAUCGGGCUGUUACAAUUGGUAUCAGAGCGGGUUAAGAUCCCUUAGUUCCGUCCUAAGGGAUCAGCAUUUCCGACGUUUAAAAAAAAAAAAAAAAUUGUUUUCAUUAAAAGAAAAGAGUUUGUGAAAGUUUUGAUUCUCCUAAAAGUUCUGAAAACGAUUUCAAAACCACCCACUAUAUUUAUACUUCUAGUAUGGUUCUGAUCGGAUGUCUACUUGAAGGAUGUCUUCGACAAUCAGUAACGACCAGAGUGACAAUUACGGGUAUCGUGGACCUGCAUGGUGGAACUCGAUCUACACUCGGACUCAGCGCACCAUAAAGGAAAAUGUGGUACCCUAUCGGUGACGCCCAUUGACGAAGUUUCAUCGCCAGACACAUGAGUUGGAGUGGUUGGAGAAAAACCAGAGAUGGAAACCCGACUAAUGUAACUACCGAGAACGUGAAGGUUGUGGCGGAUAUCAUGGGUUUAGAGGAACAUUAGAGGUGCAAUGAAACAAGAUGAAGUCAUAGGUCAAUG
Molecule: long non-coding RNA, 1871 nt
Filed under: Brassica rapa (field mustard)
Lineage: Eukaryota; Viridiplantae; Streptophyta; Magnoliopsida; Brassicales; Brassicaceae
Description: long non-coding RNA (BRAP_LNC006062)
Source: RNAcentral